This 219-nucleotide ribosomal RNA is filed under the name uncultured bacterium. RNAcentral's name for it is "partial 16S ribosomal RNA". It matches the Rfam family "Bacterial small subunit ribosomal RNA", at positions 111 to 334 of the family's 1533-position model. The record is from RNAcentral.
UAAUGUAUGGGGAUCUGCCCGAUAGAGGGGGAUAACUACUGGAAACGGUGGCUAAUACCGCAUAAUGUCUACGGACCAAAGCAGGGGCUCUUCGGACCUUGCACUAUCGGAUGGACCCAUAUGGGAUUGCUAGUAGGUGGGGUAAAGGCUCACCUAGGCGACGAUCUCUAGCUGGUCUGAGAGGAUGAUCAGCCACACUGGGACUGAGACACGGCCCAG